Nicotiana tabacum (common tobacco) is the source of this 509-nucleotide non-coding RNA. Lineage: Eukaryota; Viridiplantae; Streptophyta; Magnoliopsida; Solanales; Solanaceae. The record is from RefSeq and is a predicted model, not a curated record.
AUUGAGCUAAACAAAGAGCUUUCUGGGAUUCAAGUUGUUCUCUCUAAUCCUUACAACAUUAUGCUACAAAUGAUUAAAAAGCCUUCCUUAUAUGGGUUUGAGGUGGCUUCACUCGCGUGCUGCGCAACAGGACUAUUUGAGAUGGGUUAUGCGUGUGAUCGAUAUAAUCUUUUCACAUGUAAAGAUGCAAAUAAAUACAUAUUUUGGGAUGCAUUUCAUCCAACGGAAAAAACAGAUCGUAUCAUCGCCGACCAUGUGGUUAAAACAGCUCUGUCCAAGUUUUUAGAAUAAUUAUAAGAUGGAGAUUAUCUAUUUGUAUGCUUUGGUUAUUCCAUAAACCCAUAUAUAAUUAGUAUGUAAUUACGUGUGUAUAUUCUUAGAUUGAGUGGAUUUCUAGUUACGUAAACUGGUGUUGUUGCGUGAUGUUCUUUCAUCCCUCAUACGAAGAAGGAUAUGUAAUAUGAGAAGAUGAGUGAUUUUAUGUUGCUAAUAGAAUUACCUUUUAUUGA